AACGUUUGGAAACGAACGCUAAUACCGCAUAACGUAUACGGAUGGCAUCGUCUGUAUACCAAAGGAGCAAUCCGCUGAAAGAUGGGCUCGCGUCCGAUUAGCUAGAUGGUGAGGUAACGGCCCACCAUGGCGACGAUCGGUAGCCGGACUGAGAGGUUGACCGGCCACAUUGAGACUGAGACACGGCCCAGACUCCUACGGGAGGCAGCAGUGAGGGAUAUUGGGCAAUGGGGGAAACCCUGACCCAGCGACGCCGCGUGAGGGAAGACGGUCUUCGGAUUGUAAACCUCUGUCUUUGGGGACGAAAAAGGACGGUACCCAAGGAGGAAGCUCCGGCUAACUACGUGCCAGCAGCCGCGGUAAUACGUAGGGAGCGAGCGUUGUCCGGAAUUACUGGGUGUAAAGGGAGCGUAGGCGGGAAGGCAAGUUGGAUGUGAAAACUGUGGGCUUAACCGACAGACUGC
RNAcentral lists this ribosomal RNA (464 nucleotides) under uncultured bacterium. Its description in RNAcentral is "bacterial SSU rRNA". It matches the Rfam family "Bacterial small subunit ribosomal RNA", at positions 145 to 624 of the family's 1533-position model. The record is from RNAcentral.